This 1604-nucleotide long non-coding RNA is filed under the name Volvox carteri. Its description in RNAcentral is "long non-coding RNA (VCAR_LNC002436)". The record is from RNAcentral. Lineage: Eukaryota; Viridiplantae; Chlorophyta; Chlorophyceae; Chlamydomonadales; Volvocaceae.
GACAGCAUACCCGCUGGGGCUGGCCUUCCGGAUGCAUGCGACUAAACCUGCCGGCCCAAGGCAAAUCAGCCUGGGUGCUUCGCUGCGCGACAGCAUACCCGCUGGGGCUGGCCUUCCGGAUGCAUGCGACCUAAACCUGCCGGCCCAAGGCAAAUCAGCCUGGGUGCUUCGCCGCGCGACAGCAUACCCCCUGGGGCUGGCCUUCCGGAUGCAUGCGACCUAAACCUGCCGGCCCAAGGCAAAUCAGCCUGGGUGCUUCGUUGCGCGACAGCAUACCCCCUGGGGCUGGCCUUCCGGAUGCAUGCGACUAAACCUGCCGGCCCAAGGCAAAUCAGCCUGGGUGCUUCGCCGCGCGAGAGCAUACCCCCUGGGGCUGGCCUUCCGGAUGCAUGCGACCUAAACCUGCCGGCCCAAGGCAAAUCAGCCUGGGUGCUUCGCUGCGCGACAGCAUACCCCCUGGGGCUGGCCUUCCGGAUGCAUGCGACCUAAACCUGCCGGCCCAAGGCAAAUCAGCCUGGGUGCUUCGCUGCGCGACAGCAUACCCCCUGGGGCUGGCCUUCCGGAUGCAUGCGACUAAACCUGCCGGCCCAAGGCAAAUCAGCCUGGGUGCUUCGCUGCGCGACAGCAUACCCGCUGGGGCUGGCCUUCCGGAUGCAUGCGACCUAAACCUGCCGGCCCAAGGCAAAUCAGCCUGNGUGCUUCGCCGCGCGACAGCAUACCCGCUGGGGCUGGCCUUCCGGAUAGAAUGCAGCUCCACACGGUAGCUCGGCCCUUCACGAGACCUCCUUCGGAAAAACCUACAGGCUAUGGUUACUUUUGGGCAUUUGCUCCUGCCGAAGUGUGAAGCCGACGACUAGGUGCCUCUUUUUCCCCGGGGGGUGGCCCCCAGUGGGCGUGCCCCUGCCUAGGCGCUAUUGCGGGCUUUUGGCUGCUUUCAGGACAGGGACCCGUUGGGAUAACAGACCCCGCUGCGCCAUCUCAAAGCAACUACCCCUCUGCCGCGGCGCCAUCCACCGGAAACGGACCCAACCUCACGAGCACUAAUACUCUGAGUCGGCCACUCGCGGUCUACAGAUUCGUGUUCUUCAUAAGCUAAGCCUGACCCGUAGCUUCUAAUCCAGCCUGGUCAAACAACAGCGGCGGCGCAUCCCUUUCCCGCUAUUUUAAAACUGGGUCCGGUCUCUCCCAUGCCUUUGAUAUAACAGAACUUGCGGCGGCUGGCUGUGCCUACAGUCUGACCGCGCGGAGCAAUAGCUGGCGUCUGUUACUCACCGCAUCGGCCCCCUCCGGGUAACUAGGUGCUCCGCCAUUCUGGUGUCCUCCUUCGUCCCGCUGUUGGAGGAUGUCCUCCAAGCCUUCUUGGCCUCCGCCGCGCGAUUGCUCGCGCUCUGCCAUCACUUCGCUGUUACUGGCGACCGAUAUGCCAGCAACGUCAAAUCGCCUUAUCUACUUUACUAUUGAGCUGGGUCCCGAAUACAAAGUAAAUCACUAUUUAAACAAUUCAAAAUCCCCAACAGACGACGUUCUGACUUGCGCUUGCUUGCACGGUUGACUGGCGAACUAGCGUUGUCUGGAUUCAGCGCUUUGUUCCCAGCUAAUCUUUG